UCCCGAACUCGGUCGUGAAACGUUCCAGCGCCAAUGGUACUUCGUCUUAAGACGCGGGAGAGUAGGUCGCUGCCAGGU
Molecule: ribosomal RNA, 78 nt
Filed under: Falsochrobactrum ovis
Lineage: Bacteria; Pseudomonadati; Pseudomonadota; Alphaproteobacteria; Hyphomicrobiales; Brucellaceae
Source: RNAcentral